ACUAGGGAUCGGGUGACCUCAAUCUUGAUCGUUGUGCUCGGAACCUUACGAGAAAUCAAAGUCUUGGGGUACNGGGGGAGAUAUGGUCGCAAGGCUGAAAUUUAAAGGAAUUGACGGAAGGGCACCACCAGGUNUGGAGCCUGGGGUAAAUUGGACUCAACAGGGGGAAACUCACCAGGUCCAGACUAACUAGGAUUGACAGAUUGAUAGCUCCUUCAUGAUUUAAUGG
RNAcentral lists this ribosomal RNA (229 nucleotides) under uncultured fungus. RNAcentral's name for it is "partial 18S ribosomal RNA". It matches the Rfam family "Eukaryotic small subunit ribosomal RNA", at positions 1045 to 1273 of the family's 1831-position model. Lineage: Eukaryota; Fungi. The record is from RNAcentral.